GAAUAAUCUGAUUUAGAUUUUAUUUGUUAAGGUAAAAUAAACGAUAGUGCGUUGAGGAUUUAUAGUUUUUACGGAAUUGUGGUAUAACGUCAUUUGAUUAUUUAAUAUUAAUUCAGGAAAAAAGUAAUAGAUUUUAUACAACGGUUUUCGAUAGUGAUUUACGAGAGAUUUAAAGUUAUAAUAAUAAUAAUAAUCCUCGAAAUAUUAUCACCUGUCUAAAAAACAAAUAUUUCCAUAAAUUCUUACAAUUACAUUUCCUAUUUCUUCUCUUAUUCUCAUAUUACAUAAAUUAAAUUGCUCGUAAAAUCAUCAAGCAUAAAGAAGUAUCAUCUCUCUUUAAUUGAAACAUCUAUAAAAUAAAUCAACAAAUUAAUAAUUUUCAUCUGUAAACAAUUCAAAAACAAUUCUUUACAACUGAAAUAUCUAUUAAAAUUAGAGAAAACUUUAAAGCGUUUUAACUUCGAAAGUAGUGAUUUCCAAUCAACAAAUGAAAGAUCAUCACAAUCUUGACAUUUGAAAUGCACUUUCAUUCUCAAUAUGAUUUCCAAUUCCGAAGAUUGCGUAAAGAAAGGAUUAAUUUUUGAUCAUUUAUUAUCUCCAUCCUUGUUUAUUUAAACUCGCUUGCAUUUUACUAACCUAUUUCAAAUUUUAGAUUGACGACAGAUGCGAUUCCAGGAAGGUGCACGCAUUUCUAGGAAGAAAUAAAUCACUAGAUCGCUGAUGACCCAAUAAUCUCUCUGCAUCGUCUCAAUCGCUAUGGACAUUUCAAUUUCUUAUAUCUCAACAACCGAUUGAGAUAUCGAGAUGAAACAAAAAAAGACUUGAAUGGCACGGUUUCCUCUAUUUUCUCAGAAUAGGAUAUCGUUAAUGGAUCAUCGAGGGUGUGUCGGACAUUUGCAAGAAGGACGACAAAUGGCCGUGCGCGAUGGAUACGCGUGAGGACGCGAUUAAUCGAUGUUAAGUGCGUUAUAAUGAUAUCGCCGUCAGGCAAAUUCGAGCCUCGUAAAAUAGCUUGUUGGAGAUUCGUGGAUUCUCCACGCGUAUUCUGCCGAGGUCUCGACCAAUAAUUCAAUGACGAUUGAUCCGUGCGUGCCAUCGAUGCCGUCAGAAAAUCUAAUACGCCAGUCAAUCUUUCGCCUUCGGAGAUUGAUGAACCGGGAUUUAUCUUUGUUCUCUGAAUUUCCGAAUAUAUUAUCUCCAAGCCUAUU
Molecule: long non-coding RNA, 1208 nt
Organism: Apis florea (little honeybee)
Lineage: Eukaryota; Metazoa; Arthropoda; Insecta; Hymenoptera; Apidae
Source: RefSeq, a predicted model, not a curated record